RNAcentral lists this ribosomal RNA (525 nucleotides) under uncultured bacterium. Its description in RNAcentral is "bacterial SSU rRNA". It matches the Rfam family "Bacterial small subunit ribosomal RNA", at positions 777 to 1304 of the family's 1533-position model. The record is from RNAcentral.
AAUAGAUACCCGGGUAGUCCACGCCGUAAACGAUGAGUGCUAGGUGUUAGGGGGUCCAACCCUUAGUGCCGAAGUUAACACAUUAAGCACUCCGCCUGGGGAGUACGGUCGCAAGACUGAAACUCAAAGGAAUUGACGGGGGCCCGCACAAGCGGUGGAGCAUGUGGUUUAAUUCGAAGCAACGCGAAGAACCUUACCAGGGCUUGACAUCCCUCUGACCGUUCUAGAGAUAGAGCUUCCCUUCGGGGCAGAGGUGACAGGUGGUGCAUGGUUGUCGUCAGCUCGUGUCGUGAGAUGUUGGGUUAAGUCCCGCAACGAGCGCAACCCUUGUCCCUAGUUGCCAGCAUUCAGUUGGGCACUCUAGGGAGACUGCCGGUGACAAACCGGAGGAAGGUGGGGAUGACGUCAAAUCAUCAUGCCCCUUAUGUCCUGGGCUACACACGUGCUACAAUGGCUGGUACAAAGGGUAGCGAAGCAGUGAUGUGGAGCCAAUCCCAAAAAGCCAGUCACAGUUCGGAUUGUAGG